This 497-nucleotide ribosomal RNA is filed under the name uncultured bacterium. RNAcentral's name for it is "partial 16S ribosomal RNA". It matches the Rfam family "Bacterial small subunit ribosomal RNA", at positions 28 to 507 of the family's 1533-position model. The record is from RNAcentral.
GAUGAACGCUGGCGGCGUGCCUAAUACAUGCAAGUCGAGCGAACGGACGAGAAGCUUGCUUCUCUGAUGUUAGCGGCGGACGGGUGAGUAACACGUGGAUAACCUACCUAUAAGACUGGGAUAACUUCGGGAAACCGGAGCUAAUACCGGAUAAUAUUUUGAACCGCAUGGUUCAAAAGUGAAAGACGGUCUUGCUGUCACUUAUAGAUGGGUCCGCGCUGCAUUAGCUAGUUGGUAAGGUAACGGCUUACCAAGGCAACGAUGCAUAGCCGACCUGAGAGGGUGAUCGGCCACACUGGAACUGAGACACGGUCCAGACUCCUACGGGAGGCAGCAGUAGGGAAUCUUCCGCAAUGGGCGAAAGCCUGACGGAGCAACGCCGCGUGAGUGAUGAAGGUCUUCGGAUCGUAAAACUCUGUUAUUAGGGAAGAACAUACGUGUAAGUAACUGUGCACAUCUUGACGGUACCUAAUCAGAAAGCCACGGCUAACUACGUG